RNAcentral lists this ribosomal RNA (453 nucleotides) under Teuvoa uxoris. Its description in RNAcentral is "eukaryotic LSU rRNA". It matches the Rfam family "Eukaryotic large subunit ribosomal RNA", at positions 196 to 664 of the family's 3401-position model. The record is from RNAcentral. Lineage: Eukaryota; Fungi; Ascomycota; Lecanoromycetes; Pertusariales; Megasporaceae.
CAGGGCGUCAUAGAGGGUGAGAAUCCCGUACGUGGCCGGCGGUCAAUUCCGUGUGAAACCCCUUCGACGAGUCGAGUUGUUUGGGAAUGCAGCUCAAAAUGGGUGGUAAAUUUCAUCUAAAGCUAAAUACCGGCCAGAGACCGAUAGCGCACAAGUAGAGUGAUCGAAAGAUGAAAAGCACUUUGGAAAGAGAGUUAAAAAGUACGUGAAAUUGUUGAAAGGGAAGCGCUUGCGACCAGACUUGCUCGCGGGUGAUCAGCCUCCCUUUGGGGGGGUGCACUCACCCGUGAUCAGGCCAGCAUCGGUUUUGGCGGGUGGAUAAAGUCCCCAGGAAUGUGGCUCCCUUCGGGGAGUGUUAUAGCCUGAGGCGYAAUGCGCCCAGCCGGGACCGAGGACCGCGCUUCGGCUAGGAUGCUGGCGUAAUGGUUGUAAGCGACCCGUCUUGAAACACGG